GACGAACGCUGGCGGCGUGCUUAACACAUGCAAGUCGAACGGUGAAGCGCCUUCCUUUUUGGUGGGUGUGGAUGAGUGGCGAACGGGUGAGUAACACGUGAGUAACCUGCCCCCUUCUUCUGGAUAACCGCAUGAAAGUGUGGCUAAUACGGGAUAUUCUGGGUCUGUCGCAUGAUGGGUCUGGGAAAGAUAUUGUUUCGGUGGGGGAUGGGCUCGCGGCCUAUCAGCUUGUUGGUGGGGUGAUGGCCUACCGAGGCGGUGACGGGUAGCCGGCCUGAGAGGGUGGACGGUCACACUGGGACUGAGACACGGCCCAGACUCCUACGGGAGGCAGCAGUGGGGAAUAUUGCACGAUGGGCGCAAGGCUGAUGCAGCGACGCCGCGUGAGGGAUGGAGGCCUUCGGGUUGUGAACCUCUUUCGCCAGUGAAGCAGGCCUGCCUCGUUUGUGGGUGGGUUGACGGUAGCUGGAUAAGAAGCGCCGGCUAACUACGUG
Molecule: ribosomal RNA, 494 nt
Filed under: uncultured bacterium
Lineage: Bacteria
Description: partial 16S ribosomal RNA
Rfam family: Bacterial small subunit ribosomal RNA
Source: RNAcentral